This 301-nucleotide ribosomal RNA is filed under the name uncultured bacterium. RNAcentral describes it as "partial 16S ribosomal RNA". It matches the Rfam family "Bacterial small subunit ribosomal RNA", at positions 509 to 807 of the family's 1533-position model. The record is from RNAcentral.
CAGUAGCCACGGUAAGACGGAGGGUGCUAGCGUUGUUCGGAAUCACUGGGCGUAAAGGGCGCGUAGGCGGCCUGUUAAGUCGGAUGUGAAAGCCCGGGGCUCAACCCCGGAACUGCAUCCGAGACUGGCAGGCUUGAGACCGGGAGAGGAGGGUGGAAUAUCCAGUGUAGAGGUGAAAUUCGUAGAUAUUGGAUGGAACACCGGUGGCGAAAGCGGCUCUCUGGCCCGGAUCUGACGCUGAGGCGCGAAAGCGUGGGGAGCAAACAGGAUUAGAUACCCCAGUAGUCCCUGUCUCUUAUAC